This 425-nucleotide ribosomal RNA is filed under the name uncultured bacterium. RNAcentral describes it as "partial 16S ribosomal RNA". It matches the Rfam family "Bacterial small subunit ribosomal RNA", at positions 354 to 796 of the family's 1533-position model. The record is from RNAcentral.
GUGGGGAAUAUUGGACAAUGGGCGCAAGCCUGAUCCAGCCAUGCCGCGUGAGUGAUGAAGGCCUUAGGGUUGUAAAGCUCUUUCGCCGGGGACGAUGAUGACGGUACCCGGAGAAGAAGCCCCGGCUAACUUCGUGCCAGCAGCCGCGGUAAUACGAAGGGGGCUAGCGUUGUUCGGAAUUACUGGGCGUAAAGGGUGCGUAGGCGGUCAGCAAAGUCAGGGGGGAAAGCCCGGGGCUCAACCUCGGAACUGCCCUUGAGACUGGUUGACUUGAGUAUGGAAGAGGGUCGUGGAAUUCCCAGUGUAGAGGUGAAAUUCGUAGAUAUUGGUAAGAACACCAGUGGCGAAGGCGGCGACCUGGUCCAUUACUGACGCUGAGGUGCGACAGCGUGGGGAGCAAACAGGAUUAGAUACCCCUGUAGUCC